UACGUAGGGUGCAAGCGUUGUCCGGAAUUAUUGGGCGUAAAGAGCUCGUAGGCGGUUUGUUGCGUCGGCUGUGAAAUCCCGAGGCUCAACCUCGGGUCUGCAGUCGAUACGAGCAAACUAGAGUGUUGCAGGGGAGACUGGAAUUCCUGGUGUAGCGGUGGAAUGCGCAGAUAUCAGGAGGAACACCAACGGCGAAGGCAGCUCGCUGGGACGGUACUGACGCUAAGGCGCGAAAGCGUGGGGAGCGAACAGG
This 253-nucleotide ribosomal RNA is filed under the name uncultured bacterium. RNAcentral's name for it is "partial 16S ribosomal RNA". It matches the Rfam family "Bacterial small subunit ribosomal RNA", at positions 524 to 776 of the family's 1533-position model. The record is from RNAcentral.